RNAcentral lists this ribosomal RNA (318 nucleotides) under Triticum aestivum (bread wheat). Its description in RNAcentral is "partial small subunit ribosomal RNA". Lineage: Eukaryota; Viridiplantae; Streptophyta; Magnoliopsida; Poales; Poaceae. The record is from RNAcentral.
AUGCGCCAUGGAAAGAGAGCAACUAAACAAAACUUAGGGAGCUUCAAAAAUAUUCAAAAUGAACUGCAAUCAGGCUCUGGCAGGCACUGCUCCACGGCGGAUGAAGCCGAACAGAGAGAGGACUCAUCUGGGACAAUCGAGGGCUCUUCUCGUGCACUGCGGGGGAGGAGAAGAACUAGAGAGGGGGUCAGGACAGAGGGUGGCCGCGCUAUCGGGAGCAGAUGCCCUAUAGCUGGUCACAGGAGGAGCCGAGCACUGCAACGCCCGCGCAACCGCACCACGGGCUCGGCGCUAGCGAACUGCGCGCUGAGGUGGUAG